Molecule: ribosomal RNA, 251 nt
Filed under: uncultured bacterium
Lineage: Bacteria
Description: partial 16S ribosomal RNA
Rfam family: Bacterial small subunit ribosomal RNA
Source: RNAcentral
CCAGAGACCGGCGCACGGGUGCGUAACGCGUAUGCAAUCUGCCUUUCACAGAGGGAUAGCCCAGAGAAAUUUGGAUUAAUACCUCAUAGUAUAGCGACAUCGCAUGAUGAUGCUAUUAAAGUCACAACGGUGAAAGAUGAGCAUGCGUCCCAUUAGCUAGUUGGUAAGGUAACGGCUUACCAAGGCAACGAUGGGUAGGGGUCCUGAGAGGGAGAUCCCCCACACUGGUACUGAGACACGGACCAGACUCC